CAGUAGCCGCGGGAAUACGUAGGGUGCAAGCGUUAAUCGGAAUUGCUGGGCGUAAAGCGUGCGCAGGCGGUUAUAUAAGUCAGAUGUGAAAUCCCCGGGCUCAACCUGGGAACUGCAUUUGAGACUGUAUGGCUAGAGUGUGUCAGGGGGGGGUAGAAUUCCACGUGUAGCAGUGAAAUGCGUAGAUAUGUGGAGGAAUACCGAUGGCGAAGGCAGCCCCCUGGGAUAACACUGACGCUCAUGCACGAAAGCGUGGGGAGCAAACAGGAUUAGAUACCCCCGUAGUCCCUGUCUCUUAUAC
RNAcentral lists this ribosomal RNA (301 nucleotides) under uncultured bacterium. RNAcentral describes it as "partial 16S ribosomal RNA". It matches the Rfam family "Bacterial small subunit ribosomal RNA", at positions 509 to 807 of the family's 1533-position model. The record is from RNAcentral.